Molecule: long non-coding RNA, 526 nt
Organism: Pocillopora verrucosa
Lineage: Eukaryota; Metazoa; Cnidaria; Anthozoa; Scleractinia; Pocilloporidae
Source: RefSeq, a predicted model, not a curated record
GUCACGAGCGGUCUGAUGUAUUCUCACCAGUUCAAAUAAUAUCCCAGAAAAGCGUAUUUAUUACGGCAGUUGGCAACAGCAGUGUUGAAGAGUGAGUCACUUUACGACGAUUUUCCUUUACGAAGCGUGUCACCAAGAAAAUGAAGUGGUCCGUCAUCUCGUCACCAGCGCUACUGAUCCUGUAUUUGGUGACAUUCUCUUCUGCUGAGGAGUUAAAAAGGAAGACACCAGUCCACCUGAAGAUUCAAUUUACCUCGAUUUUAGACACUCCACCAUUUGAUUGUGCAUCACAUAGAUUAUGCCCUGAUAAUUUGGAAUGCAGUAUAUUUGACACGUGUUGUCAAAGGUGGCCUCCUUGGAGGUAUUCAUGUUGUCCUCUACCAAAUGCUGUUUGUUGCUAUGACCUAAAACAUUGCUGUCCGGAAGGAUACAUUUGUUCUCCUAUUGUAAAAGGGUGUAUACCUGAGCACAAAUCUCAGUUAUAAAAUAUAAGCUGGAAAUAAAAAAGGAAUGCUCAAAAAAAAAA